RNAcentral lists this long non-coding RNA (400 nucleotides) under Mustela putorius furo (domestic ferret). RNAcentral describes it as "lncRNA (ENSMPUG00000029802.1)". Lineage: Eukaryota; Metazoa; Chordata; Mammalia; Carnivora; Mustelidae. The record is from RNAcentral.
UUUGCCUCUCUGCACAUAGGUUUCUUCAUCUGUAUAGAGUUUAAAUGUCUAAUAAUUGAAGAGCUAUCACCCACAUAAAUUAACAGACUCUCUCUCUCUCUCUCUUUUUUUUUAAGGAAUACAACAUUUAUAUCUAAAAGUUUCACACAUACUCACUGGCCAGUGUCAAAUGCAAGCUGCCUUGUUCUCUACAGGAGUAGUGAGGAGUAUCUUUGAGAUGCCUUCCAGCUCUUGCUAACCAUAAUGAGAAGAUAGCACCAAUGUCAGUAAGACAGCCCCCAAGAUGAUUCAAAAUUCUGGGAAAAAUCUGAGAAGAAAGAAAAAAAAAUCCCGAGAAGAAAAAUCCAGAACUUGCUAGACUUGAAAAUUCUCAUUUUCUCUAGAUGAGAAAUAACGCUAA